AUGGCCGGUGUCGACGCGCUCGCCGGUCGGCACCCCGGGCUCUCGCUCCGGCACACGAGCAGGAACCCGCGCCCGCCCCCCGCGCCUCUCAGCCCCGGGCGCGCGCACGCGCACACACGCGCACACACCGCGCGCGGCCCAGCGCUUGCUGGUUGCUGGAAAACGGGUUCCCUCUUUAUUUCUGGCGCCUUCAAACACAGAUCUGAGGAGAACAGGGAGACCGUUUCUGUGCAGGGAUGCAAGAUUGCAUUUUCAGCCGAGCGGUUUGUGCGUGAUUGUCAUGAACUACGGCAGAUAAUGAAGACAGACCCCAGACCAUCAGAUCUCACCGUGUCCUGUUCUGAAAAUGGGAUUAAUAAAAGAAAAACAAGAACAGAAUGGAUUCAUUGAGAUAGUCAACAACCACCACACCACUAGAGGAGCAUAGCCGGAUUAAAACGCCUUAUCUGUGUUGUUCCCUCUAAAUUAUCUUCACCUUUCUAAGCAGUAAGCAAAUAAAUAAAUAAAACCUUAAAAUAGUACUUAAGAUUUCAUUUCUAAUACUGAGCUUACAAUGUUAAGAAUGUAAACACGUCUAGCAAGAAUAUAGGUAAAAACUAGCUACAGGGAAUAAUCAGUCUUUUAGUUACAGGGAAUAAUUUGUCUUUUAAUAGUGGAGGAACCCAGGAACCAAUAGUAGGAACCAGAAUUUCCCUGUGGGGUUUAGGUUAUCUUACUAUUUUGGAAAAAAUGAAGAAAAAAAAGACCAGGAACUACAACUUUUUAAAAAUUCUCUAAAGGCACCACACCCUGUGUGACAUUAAAAAAAAAAAGAAAAAAGAAAGGAUUACAGAAUUUGGCAAACUACAUUAUAUCCUGAAACCUA
Canis lupus familiaris (dog) is the source of this 865-nucleotide long non-coding RNA. RefSeq lists it as uncharacterized. The transcript is spliced from 4 exons. The record is from RefSeq and is a predicted model, not a curated record. NCBI's taxonomy places the organism in Eukaryota, Metazoa, Chordata, Mammalia, Carnivora, Canidae.